Molecule: ribosomal RNA, 497 nt
Filed under: uncultured bacterium
Lineage: Bacteria
Description: partial 16S ribosomal RNA
Rfam family: Bacterial small subunit ribosomal RNA
Source: RNAcentral
GAUGAACGCUGGCGGCGUGCCUAAUACAUGCAAGUCGAGCGAACAGACGAGAGGUUGGCUCCUCUGACGUGAUGGGCGGACGUGUGUGUAACAUGUGUAUAAUCUAUCUAUAAGACUGGGAUAACUUCGAGACGCUGGAUCUAAUACCGUAACAUAUAUUGAACCGUGUUGAUCAAUAGAAAAAGACGGUUGUUCUGUCACUUAUUGGUGGAGCGGCGUGGCAUUAGCUAGUUGGUAGGGUAACGGCUUACGAAGGCAACGAUUCGUAGCCGACCUGAGAGGGUGAUCGGCCACCCUGGAACUGGGCCACGGUCCAGACUCCUACGGGAGGCGCCGGUAGGGAAUCUUCCGCAAUGGCCGAAAGCCUGACGGAGCACCGCCGCGUGAGUGAUGAAGGUCUUCGGAUCGUAAAACUCGGUUAUUAGGGAAGAACAAAUGUGUAAGUAACUGUGCACGUCUUGACGGUACCUAGUCAGAAAGCCACGGCUAACUACGUG